Ovis aries (sheep) is the source of this 72-nucleotide transfer RNA. It matches the Rfam family "tRNA". From Rfam's summary of the family: Transfer RNA (tRNA) molecules are approximately 80 nucleotides in length. NCBI's taxonomy places the organism in Eukaryota, Metazoa, Chordata, Mammalia, Artiodactyla, Bovidae. The record is from Rfam.
CUCCUGGCUGUCCAGUGGUUAGGACUUGGCGUUUUCACUGCUGGAGCCCAGGUUCAAUCCCUGGUCAGGGAG